CUCCUACGGGAGGCAGCAGUGGGGAAUAUUGGACAAUGGGCGAAAGCCUGAUCCAGCCAUGCCGCGUGUGUGAAGAAGGCCUUUUGGUUGUAAAGCACUUUAAGCGAGGAGGAGGCUACUUGGAUUAAUACUCUAGGAUAGUGGACGUUACUCGCAGAAUAAGCACCGGCUAACUCUGUGCCAGCAGCCGCGGUAAUACAGAGGGUGCGAGCGUUAAUCGGAUUUACUGGGCGUAAAGCGUGCGUAGGCGGCUUUUUAAGUCGGAUGUGAAAUCCCUGAGCUUAACUUAGGAAUUGCAUUCGAUACUGGGAAGCUAGAGUAUGGGAGAGGAUGGUAGAAUUCCAGGUGUAGCGGUGAAAUGCGUAGAGAUCUGGAGGAAUACCGAUGGCGAAGGCAGCCAUCUGGCCUAAUACUGACGCUGAGGUACGAAAGCAUGGGGAGCAAACAGGAUUAGAUACCCUGGUAGUCCAUGCCGUAAACGAUGUCUACUAGCCGUUGGGGCCUUUGAGGCUUUAGUGGCGCAGCUAACGCGAUAAGUAGACCGCCUGGGGAGUACGGUCGCAAGACUAAAACUCAAAUGAAUUGACGG
RNAcentral lists this ribosomal RNA (589 nucleotides) under Acinetobacter sp. SF2. RNAcentral describes it as "bacterial SSU rRNA". It matches the Rfam family "Bacterial small subunit ribosomal RNA", at positions 336 to 916 of the family's 1533-position model. Lineage: Bacteria; Pseudomonadati; Pseudomonadota; Gammaproteobacteria; Moraxellales; Moraxellaceae. The record is from RNAcentral.